GAUGAAGACGUAGCGAAAUGCGAAAAGUAAUGUGAAUUGCAGAAUUCAGUGAAUCAUCGAAUCUUUGAACGCACAUUGCGCCCGCUGGUACUCCGGCGGGCACGCCUGUCCGAGCGUCAUUUCAACCCUCAAGCCCUCCUUCGGGAUGGGCCUGGUGUUGGGGCUCGGCCGCCAUCUCCGGCGGCCGUCCCCUAAAUACAGUGGCGGUCACGUCGCGACUCCUUUGCGUAGUAGAAACACCUCGCUCCGGAUAGCAACGCGGUCCACGCCGUAAAACCCCCAAUUUUCAAUGGUUGACCUCGGAUCAGGUGGGAAUACCCGCUGAACUUAAGCAUAUCAAUAAGCGGAGGA
Molecule: unclassified non-coding RNA, 351 nt
Filed under: soil metagenome
Description: partial contains 5.8S ribosomal RNA, internal transcribed spacer 2, and large subunit ribosomal RNA
Rfam family: 5.8S ribosomal RNA (bases 1-119)
Source: RNAcentral